Molecule: ribosomal RNA, 253 nt
Filed under: uncultured bacterium
Lineage: Bacteria
Description: partial 16S ribosomal RNA
Rfam family: Bacterial small subunit ribosomal RNA
Source: RNAcentral
UACGUAGGGGGCAAGCGUUGUCCGGAAUUAUUGGGCGUAAAGAGCGCGUAGGCGGUCCGGUAAGUCGGUUGUGAAAGUCGGGGGCUCAACCCUCGGAUGCCGAUCGAUACUGUCGGGCUAGAGUCCGGAAGAGGCGAGUGGAAUUCCUGGUGUAGCGGUGAAAUGCGCAGAUAUCAGGAGGAACACCAGUGGCGCAAGCGGCGAACUGGCCGAGACCUGACGCUGAGACGCGACGGCGUGGGGAGCAAACCGG